GGAGAGGUGGCCGAGUGGCUGAAGGCGCACGCUUGGAAAGCGUGUAAGGGGUAAAACCCUUCGAGGGUUCGAAUCCCUCUCUCUCCGCCA
Molecule: transfer RNA, 90 nt
Filed under: Gammaproteobacteria bacterium
Lineage: Bacteria; Pseudomonadati; Pseudomonadota; Gammaproteobacteria
Also listed under: 3 other names
Description: tRNA-Ser
Rfam family: tRNA
About the family: Transfer RNA (tRNA) molecules are approximately 80 nucleotides in length. Their secondary structure includes four short double-helical elements and three loops (D, anti-codon, and T loops).
Source: RNAcentral